AAAAUGUAAAACAAUUCGAACAAGAAAAAAAACGGUCUUAUUUAUGUACAAAAAAUGAACAAAAAACAUUGUAUGUUAAGCAUACAAAGCAUGAUUCAGCUUAUGUCGUUUCGUUAAGUGCAUAAAGUAUUCUUUGGAAUGUGGUGGCUUCUUUCAGUGUUUCGUAUCUUUCUUUUAAAUCAUCAAAAUUUUCACCCGGAUUUUUUUUAGGUAGAUGAUAUUUCGCAGGAGCACGCUUGAUAUCGAUGCAAGAUACACUAAAGCCAUGUAUUGAACAAAAAUCCAGUUGCUAACGUUCGGAAAUACAUAAGUUUGUUGGAUAACUAAUUCCAUUUUUAUAAAAACCAAUACACCCAAUACAUCGACACUUUUGAUAAACGAUACAAAAAACUAAACUAAAAACGCUAAAUGAAAAACGCUAUAAUAACCCUUAGCUACAAACGGGUUAACGUCGUCAUAUUACAUGAGCUUAUCGAUAUCAUUAACCAUAUGCUCAGUAGUACCAUAUAUACUAUACGCUACACGAUACCACAAACAAUACAAACGCAGAACGAUAUUUUCAUAUGAAAAUGUUCAUUCUUAUUGAAAUUAAAAGUCGACCGAAUUUAGUACGAUUAUUAAUCAAACGGAAAGUUUAAAUUUGUAAUCAUCGUUUACAUUGAUAUUCUUACUGUUCAUUAGUGUAUCUGUUUUUGAAUUUUAGGUUUAUUUUUCAUGCAUAAAUUUUAAAUCAGCAAAUGAAUGGUUACAUAAAAUUUCCAUUACAACAAAAUAAAACCUCACGUUCAAUUGCCGUAUGUUUUUGUUUAGUAUUAAAGAGGGUACAUAACACUACAGGGAGAUAUCUCUGUUAAAUCAGCUGACCGUUUAAAGCACACUCUAUUGUAAGAAAAUAUAAAGCUUUUCAAUGAUCAAAAUUAGUGUUUGUCAAACUACUAUAUAUCCAACCAUCUUUUACUGAUACAUGUAAUGUGUCUGCUUCAUUUUUUUU
Molecule: long non-coding RNA, 991 nt
Filed under: Mytilus galloprovincialis (Mediterranean mussel)
Lineage: Eukaryota; Metazoa; Mollusca; Bivalvia; Mytilida; Mytilidae
Source: RNAcentral